UGGGGAAUAUUGGACAAUGGGCGAAAGCCUGAUCCAGCCAUGCCGCGGGUGUGAAGAAGGUCUUCGGAUUGUAAAGCACUUUAAGUUGGGAGGAAGGGCAGUAAGCGAAUACCUUGCUGUUUUGACGUUACCGACAGAAUAAGCACCGGCUAACUCUGUGCCAGCAGCCGCGGUAAUACAGAGGGUGCAAGCGUUAAUCGGAAUUACUGGGCGUAAAGCGCGCGUAGGUGGUUCGUUAAGUUGAAUGUGAAAGCCCCGGGCUCAACCUGGGAACUGCAGCCAAAACUGGCGGGCUAGAGUAGGGCAGAGGGUGGUGGAAGUUCCUGUGUAGCGGUGAAAUGCGUAGAUAUAGGAAGGAACACCAGUGGCGAAGGCGACCACCUGGGCUCAUACUGACACUGAGGUGGGAAAGCGUGGGGAGCAAACAGG
This 429-nucleotide ribosomal RNA is filed under the name Pseudomonadota bacterium. RNAcentral describes it as "Proteobacteria bacterium partial 16S ribosomal RNA". It matches the Rfam family "Bacterial small subunit ribosomal RNA", at positions 355 to 776 of the family's 1533-position model. Lineage: Bacteria; Pseudomonadati; Pseudomonadota. The record is from RNAcentral.